Molecule: ribosomal RNA, 660 nt
Filed under: Triticum aestivum (bread wheat)
Lineage: Eukaryota; Viridiplantae; Streptophyta; Magnoliopsida; Poales; Poaceae
Description: partial small subunit ribosomal RNA
Source: RNAcentral
AUGUCAUUCUCAUCGCAACAGCAGCAGAGCAGAGAGAUCUUCUUCGAGCUCUCUCCAAUGGCCAAGAUCCAGCCCCUUCCUGCCGCGGCAGCCUCGCCUUCUCCCUGCUCCGGUGAUCACCACCAGAGCCCACAGGCGUAUAAGGUCUGGAUGAAGUCGCUGGUGUUCAACGGCAACGGCUGCGCCGUGUACGGGCCCGACGGCGCCGUCGCCUUCCGCGUCGACAACUACGGCUGCAGGGGCGGCCGCGAGGUUUUCUUCAUGGACCGUCAGGGGAACGCCCUCGUCAGGAUCAGGCGCAAGGGCUUCGGCAUGUUCAAGAGAUGGGAGGUCUGCCGUUGCGCCCACAACGGCCACCAGGACGAGGAAGCGACGCCGUGGUUCAGCGUGCGGCGGGCCGAGAAGGGCAGGGCCGCCGUGGCGAUGCACGGCGGCAGCGGCACGUGCUACAGGAUCGACGGGUGCUCCGGCGAGCACAAGCCCGAGUACAGAGUCCGCGGCGUGGACGGCUCUGCCGUGGCGGAGGUGGCCCGGAAGCAGACGGCGGCGGGGGUGGUGCUAGGGGAGGACGUGCUGACGCUGACGAUGGCGCCGGAGGUGGAUCACCUACUCGUCCUGGGCUUGGUCGUGGUGUGCGGCCUCAUGAACCGAUCCAUGUGA